UCAGGACGAACGCUGGCGGCGUGCCUAAUACAUGCAAGUCGAGCGGGGUUGAUUAGAAGCUUGCUUCUAAUCAACCUAGCGGCGGACGGGUGAGUAACACGUAGGCAACCUGCCCACAAGACAGGGAUAACUACCGGAAACGGUAGCUAAUACCCGAUACAUCCUUUUCCUGCAUGGGAGAAGGAGGAAAGACGGAGCAAUCUGUCACUUGUGGAUGGGCCUGCGGCGCAUUAGCUAGUUGGUGGGGUAAAGGCCUACCAAGGCGACGAUGCGUAGCCGACCUGAGAGGGUGAUCGGCCACACUGGGACUGAGACACGGCCCAGACUCCUACGGGAGGCAGCAGUAGGGAAUCUUCCGCAAUGGGCGAAAGCCUGACGGAGCAACGCCGCGUGAGUGAUGAAGGUUUUCGGAUCGUAAAGCUCUGUUGCCAGGGAAGAACGUCUUGUAGAGUAACUGCUACAAGAGUGACGGUACCUGAGAAGAAAGCCCCGGCUAACUACGUGCCAGCAGCCGCGGUAAUACGUAGGGGGCAAGCGUUGUCCGGAAUUAUUGGGCGUAAAGCGCGCGCAGGCGGCUCUUUAAGUCUGGUGUUUAAUCCCGAGGCUCAACUUCGGGUCGCACUGGAAACUGGGGAGCUUGAGUGCAGAAGAGGAGAGUGGAAUUCCACGUGUAGCGGUGAAAUGCGUAGAUAUGUGGAG
RNAcentral lists this ribosomal RNA (699 nucleotides) under Paenibacillus sp. B2. RNAcentral's name for it is "bacterial SSU rRNA". It matches the Rfam family "Bacterial small subunit ribosomal RNA", at positions 24 to 703 of the family's 1533-position model. The record is from RNAcentral. Lineage: Bacteria; Bacillati; Bacillota; Bacilli; Caryophanales; Paenibacillaceae.